RNAcentral lists this ribosomal RNA (292 nucleotides) under uncultured bacterium. Its description in RNAcentral is "partial 16S ribosomal RNA". It matches the Rfam family "Bacterial small subunit ribosomal RNA", at positions 505 to 796 of the family's 1533-position model. The record is from RNAcentral.
GUGUCAGCAGCCGCGGUAAUACGAAGGGGGCGAGCGUUGUUCGGAUUUACUGGGCGUAAAGGGCGCGUAGGCGGCGGGUCAAGUCGAGUGUGAAAGCCCCGGGCUCAACCUGGGAAUUGCGCUCGAGACUGGACUGCUUGAGUUCGGGAGAGGAGCGUGGAAUUCCCAGUGUAGAGGUGAAAUUCGUAGAUAUUGGGAAGAACACCGGUGGCGAAGGCGGCGCUCUGGACCGAGACUGACGCUGAGGCGCGAAAGCGUGGGGAGCAAACAGGAUUAGAUACCCUGGUAGUCC